Molecule: ribosomal RNA, 422 nt
Filed under: uncultured eukaryote
Lineage: Eukaryota
Description: SSU rRNA
Rfam family: Eukaryotic small subunit ribosomal RNA
Source: RNAcentral
CAAUAGCGUAUAUUAAAGUUGUUGCGGUUAAAAAGCUCGUAGUUGGAUUUCUGUUGAGAGCAGCCGGUCCACCUUUUGGGUGAGUAUCUGGAUUGGUCUCGGCAUCCUCUCGGAAGUCGUCUCUGCGCUUGAUUGCGUGGUACGAGGUUCGAGACUUUUACUUUGAGGAAAUUAGAGUGUUCACGGCAGGCAUACGCCUUGAAUAUAUUAGCAUGGAAUAAUACUAUAGGAUUUCGGUUCUAUUUUGUUGGUUUCUAGAGCUGAAAUAAUGAUUAAUAGGGACAAUUGGGGGCAUUCGUAUUAACGCGUCAGAGGUGAAAUUCUUGGAUUGCGUUACGACGAACUACUGCGAAAGCAUUUGCCAAGGAUGUUUUCAUUGAUCAAGAACGAAAGUAAGGGGAUCGAAGACGAUCAGAUACCAU